RNAcentral lists this ribosomal RNA (253 nucleotides) under uncultured bacterium. RNAcentral describes it as "partial 16S ribosomal RNA". It matches the Rfam family "Bacterial small subunit ribosomal RNA", at positions 524 to 776 of the family's 1533-position model. The record is from RNAcentral.
AACGUAGGAGACAAACGUUAUCCGGAGUUACUGGGCGUAAAGCGUGCGCAGGCGGUUCGUUAAGUCAGAUGUGAAAGCCCCGGGCUCAACCUGGGAACUGCAUUUGAAACUGGCGGGCUUGAGUGUGGCAGAGGGGGGUGGAAUUCCGCGUGUAGCAGUGAAAUGCGUAGAGAUGCGGAGGAACACCGAUGGCGAAGGCAGCCCCCUGGGCCAACACUGACGCUCAGGCACGAAAGCGUGGGGAGCAAACAGG